UGCCAUUCAACGGUGUGACCACCUACAGCCAGAGUUACACACACUGGGACAACCCCUCCACACUGAGAAGCCCGCAGUGCAUCCUGCCUGAAGCCACACUCAACUGGAGGGCCUGGGUGUCAGAGUACCAGGACCGGUACCAGGGCCCGGAUCACUACGUCCCUGGGCAGAGGAAGCCCCCUAGUGGCCUGAAGGAGCCCUGCACCACCAAGUACCAGCCUGGUGCCCACACAGCAGACCAGACCCGAGGACACAUCUGCUCAGAGUAUCAGAGGCACUUCACUAAGAAGAACUACCCUGGCCUGUCCAGACCCAAGACCAGCCCUGCGUACAGACAGAACAGAGUCAACUGACCUAAACCAUCUUCAGGAUUAGACCUGCAUGGUCUCUAUUCGAUGUUCAACCUGACAAAG
Long non-coding RNA from Oncorhynchus gorbuscha (pink salmon), 413 nucleotides. RefSeq lists it as uncharacterized. The record is from RefSeq and is a predicted model, not a curated record. The transcript has 3 exons. NCBI's taxonomy places the organism in Eukaryota, Metazoa, Chordata, Actinopteri, Salmoniformes, Salmonidae.